This 19-nucleotide small nuclear RNA is filed under the name Arabidopsis thaliana (thale cress). RNAcentral's name for it is "snRNA_07877". The record is from RNAcentral. Lineage: Eukaryota; Viridiplantae; Streptophyta; Magnoliopsida; Brassicales; Brassicaceae.
CUUGAUCGAGUAAGAGGGU